Molecule: non-coding RNA, 74 nt
Organism: Parelaphostrongylus tenuis
Lineage: Eukaryota; Metazoa; Nematoda; Chromadorea; Rhabditida; Metastrongylidae
Source: the annotation of a GenBank genome assembly
GGGCCAGUAGGGUAACGGAUAGACCACGCAUUCCUGGAAAGAAUGAGGUGCGGGUUCUAGUCCCGCUUGGCGCU